GGCUCUGUAGUGAAAUUCAUGGUGAGUUGCAAGCUCAUUGAUGUGCAUUAAUUUGCGCCAGGGUCU
RNAcentral lists this transfer RNA (66 nucleotides) under Pterorhinus lanceolatus (Chinese babax). RNAcentral describes it as "tRNA-Cys". The record is from RNAcentral. Lineage: Eukaryota; Metazoa; Chordata; Aves; Passeriformes; Leiothrichidae.